CCUACGGGAGGCAGCAGGGAGGAAUAUUGGGCAAUGGGCGCGAGCCUGAACCAGCCAAGUAGCGUGAAGGAUGACGGCCCUACGGGUUGUAAACUUCUUUUAUAAAGGAAUAAAGUGAGGCACGUGUGCCUUUUUGUAUGUACCCUAUGAAUAAGGAUCGGCUAACUCCGUGCCAGCAUCCGCGGUAAUACGGAGGUUCCGAGCGUUAUCCGGAUUUAUUGGGUUUAAAGGGAGCGUAGAUGGGUUGUUAAGUCAGGUGUGAAAGUUUGCGGCUCAACCGUAAAAUUGCAAUUGAAACUGGCAGCCUUGAGUACAGUUGAGGUAGGCGGAAUUCGUGGUGUAGCGGUGAAAUGCUUAGAUAUCACGAAGAACUCCGAUUGCGAAGGCAGCUUACUAGACUGCCACUGACAUUGAUGCACGAAAGUGUGGGUAUCAAACAGGAUUAGAUACCCCAGUAGUC
RNAcentral lists this ribosomal RNA (460 nucleotides) under uncultured bacterium. RNAcentral's name for it is "partial 16S ribosomal RNA". It matches the Rfam family "Bacterial small subunit ribosomal RNA", at positions 338 to 795 of the family's 1533-position model. The record is from RNAcentral.